RNAcentral lists this ribosomal RNA (377 nucleotides) under uncultured bacterium. RNAcentral describes it as "bacterial SSU rRNA". It matches the Rfam family "Bacterial small subunit ribosomal RNA", at positions 521 to 896 of the family's 1533-position model. The record is from RNAcentral.
UAAAACGUAGGGGGCAAGCGUUACCCGGAAUUAUUGGGCGUAAAGGGCAUGUAGGCGGUUUGGUCCGUCGUUGGUGAAAGGCCCCAGCUUAACUGGGGAGCCGCUAACGAUACCACCAGACUAGAGGGCAGCAGAGGUGAGUGGAAUUCCCGGCGUAGCGUUGAUAUGCGUAGAGUUCGGGAGGAACACCAGUGGCGAAGGCGACUCACUGGGCUGUCCCUGACGCUAAGGUGCGAAAGCGUGGGGAGCAAACAGGAUUAGAUACCCUGGUAGUCCACGCCCUAAACGAUGGAUACUAGGUAUGGGGGGUAUCGACCCCCUCCGUGCCGGAGCUUACGCGUUAAGUAUCCCGCCUGGGGAGUACGGCCGCAAGGCUA